AGGGUCAUCUAAGAUAUUUUCCAGAACUGUAGCAGGUGCAGCAGUGCGAAACUGCAGACCAAUCCUGCCAAGAUGCACCAGGGUGUCACUGUGUGGGACCUCAUAAAGUGAUGGCUUUCCUGUCGCUAUGCAGACCUGCCCCGGGCCCCGGGAUGCCAGAGGUGACCUUCGAAGUACGAGCCGAGUUGCUGCCCUCAUCUCCGCACCGUGAGAGUGGAAGACCAACUGGCAGAGAUCAGUCCACACACAC
Molecule: long non-coding RNA, 250 nt
Filed under: Scleropages formosus (Asian bonytongue)
Lineage: Eukaryota; Metazoa; Chordata; Actinopteri; Osteoglossiformes; Osteoglossidae
Description: lncRNA (ENSSFOG00015030148.1)
Source: RNAcentral